AAGUCACAACGGUAAAAGAUGAGCAUGCGUCCCAUUAGUUAGUUGGUAAGGUAACGGCUUACCAAGACUACGAUGGGUAGGGGUCCUGAGAGGGAGAUCCCCCACACUGGUACUGAGACACGGACCAGACUCCUACGGGAGGCAGCAGUGAGGAAUAUUGGACAAUGGGCGCAAGCCUGAUCCAGCCAUGCCGCGUGCAGGAUGACGGUCCUAUGGAUUGUAAACUGCUUUUAUACGAGAAGAAACACUACUUCGUGAAGUAGCUUG
This 267-nucleotide ribosomal RNA is filed under the name Flavobacterium sp. RNAcentral describes it as "partial 16S ribosomal RNA". It matches the Rfam family "Bacterial small subunit ribosomal RNA", at positions 202 to 471 of the family's 1533-position model. The record is from RNAcentral. Lineage: Bacteria; Pseudomonadati; Bacteroidota; Flavobacteriia; Flavobacteriales; Flavobacteriaceae.